CAUUGAAACACCAGUUCCCGUACGAUCACCGAAGUUAAGCAACGUCGUGCCUGGUCAGUAACUAGAUGGCUGACCGCUUGGGAAUAUUAGGUGUUGUAAG
Molecule: ribosomal RNA, 100 nt
Filed under: Acanthosepion pharaonis
Lineage: Eukaryota; Metazoa; Mollusca; Cephalopoda; Sepiida; Sepiidae
Source: RNAcentral